Molecule: small nucleolar RNA, 132 nt
Filed under: Castor canadensis (American beaver)
Lineage: Eukaryota; Metazoa; Chordata; Mammalia; Rodentia; Castoridae
Description: Small nucleolar RNA SNORA17 (ENSCCNG00000030341.1)
Rfam family: Small nucleolar RNA SNORA17
About the family: snoRNA ACA 17 belongs to the H/ACA family of snoRNAs and is predicted to guide pseudouridylation of the 28S rRNA at positions U4659 and U4598. It shares the same host gene together with ACA43.
Source: Rfam by way of RNAcentral
ACUAUCCCUAGAGGCAUGGCAGUUGUGUCUGCUGUGUCAAGUUUGUUUUAGUAGGUGGCAGAGAGAAGAGAGGCUAUGUCCCUGUGCAGUGUUUUGGUCCAUGAACAUUUGAGCAAUUAGUAACCUGACAUU